This 116-nucleotide small RNA is filed under the name Escherichia coli. RNAcentral describes it as "IS009". The record is from RNAcentral. Lineage: Bacteria; Pseudomonadati; Pseudomonadota; Gammaproteobacteria; Enterobacterales; Enterobacteriaceae.
GGGGAGUUUCAGAAGUGGAACGGCACAUCAUGGAUAAAGGAUACGGAGGAAGAAACCUCGUUGCUGGAAGCCUGGAAGAUGUAUCGGGUGUUGCUGAACCGAGUUGAUACAUCAAC